This 624-nucleotide ribosomal RNA is filed under the name uncultured Pseudomonas sp. Its description in RNAcentral is "bacterial SSU rRNA". It matches the Rfam family "Bacterial small subunit ribosomal RNA", at positions 65 to 686 of the family's 1533-position model. The record is from RNAcentral. Lineage: Bacteria; Pseudomonadati; Pseudomonadota; Gammaproteobacteria; Pseudomonadales; Pseudomonadaceae.
AGCGGAUGACAGGAGCUUGCUCCUGAAUUCAGCGGCGGACGGGUGAGUAAUGCCUAGGAAUCUGCCUGGUAGUGGGGACAACGUUUCGAAGGAACGCUAAUACCGCAUACGUCCUACGGGAGAAAGCAGGGGACCUUCGGGCCUUGCGCUAUCAGAUGAGCCUAGGUCGGAUUAGCUAGUUGGUGAGGUAAUGGCUCACCAAGGCGACGAUCCGUAACUGGUCUGAGAGGAUGAUCAGUCACACUGGAACUGAGACACGGUCCAGACUCCUACGGGAGGCAGCAGUGGGGAAUAUUGGACAAUGGGCGAAAGCCUGAUCCAGCCAUGCCGCGUGUGUGAAGAAGGUCUUCGGAUUGUAAAGCACUUUAAGUUGGGAGGAAGGGCAGUAAAUUAAUACUUUGCUGUUUUGACGUUACCGACAGAAUAAGCACCGGCUAACUCUGUGCCAGCAGCCGCGGUAAUACAGAGGGUGCAAGCGUUAAUCGGAAUUACUGGGCGUAAAGCGCGCGUAGGUGGUUCGUUAAGUUGGAUGUGAAAUCCCCGGGCUCAACCUGGGAACUGCAUUCAAAACUGACGAGCUAGAGUAUGGUAGAGGGUGGUGGAAUUUCCUGUGUAGCGGUGAAA